This 440-nucleotide ribosomal RNA is filed under the name uncultured bacterium. Its description in RNAcentral is "partial 16S ribosomal RNA". It matches the Rfam family "Bacterial small subunit ribosomal RNA", at positions 338 to 795 of the family's 1533-position model. The record is from RNAcentral.
CCUACGGGAGGCAGCAGUGGGGGAUAUUGCACAAUGGGGGGAACCCUGAUGCAGCGACGCCGCGUGGGUGAAGAAGCGCCUCGGCGCGUAAAGCCCUGUCAGCAGGGAAGAAAAUGACGGUACCUGAAGAAGAAGCCCCGGCUAACUACGUGCCAGCAGCCGCGGUAAUACGUAGGGGGCAAGCGUUAUCCGGAUUUACUGGGUGUAAAGGGGGCGCAGACGGCGAUGCAAGCCAGGAGUGAAAUCCAUGGGCUUAACCCAUGAACUGCUAUUGAAACUGUCGAGCUUGAGUGAAGUAGAGGUAGGCGGAAUUCCCGGUGUAGCGGUGAAAUGCGUAGAGAUCGGGAGGAACACCAGUGGCGAAGGCGGCCUACUGGGCUUUAACUGACGCUGAGGCACGAAAGCGUGGGUAGCAAACAGGAUUAGAUACCCUGGUAGUC